RNAcentral lists this ribosomal RNA (744 nucleotides) under Pseudomonas plecoglossicida. Its description in RNAcentral is "bacterial SSU rRNA". It matches the Rfam family "Bacterial small subunit ribosomal RNA", at positions 40 to 781 of the family's 1533-position model. Lineage: Bacteria; Pseudomonadati; Pseudomonadota; Gammaproteobacteria; Pseudomonadales; Pseudomonadaceae. The record is from RNAcentral.
CGGCGGCCUACACAUGCAAGUCGAGCGGAUGACGGGAGCUUGCUCCUUGAUUCAGCGGCGGACGGGUGAGUAAUGCCUAGGAAUCUGCCUGGUAGUGGGGGACAACGUUUCGAAAGGAACGCUAAUACCGCAUACGUCCUACGGGAGAAAGCAGGGGACCUUCGGGCCUUGCGCUAUCAGAUGAGCCUAGGUCGGAUUAGCUAGUUGGUGGGGUAAUGGCUCACCAAGGCGACGAUCCGUAACUGGUCUGAGAGGAUGAUCAGUCACACUGGAACUGAGACACGGUCCAGACUCCUACGGGAGGCAGCAGUGGGGAAUAUUGGACAAUGGGCGAAAGCCUGAUCCAGCCAUGCCGCGUGUGUGAAGAAGGUCUUCGGAUUGUAAAGCACUUUAAGUUGGGAGGAAGGGCAGUAAGCUAAUACCUUGCUGUUUUGACGUUACCGACAGAAUAAGCACCGGCUAACUCUGUGCCAGCAGCCGCGGUAAUACAGAGGGUGCAAGCGUUAAUCGGAAUUACUGGGCGUAAAGCGCGCGUAGGUGGUUCGUUAAGUUGGAUGUGAAAGCCCCGGGCUCAACCUGGGAACUGCAUCCAAAACUGGCGAGCUAGAGUACGGUAGAGGGUGGUGGAAUUUCCUGUGUAGCGGUGAAAUGCGUAGAUAUAGGAAGGAACACCAGUGGCGAAGGCGACCACCUGGACUGAUACUGACACUGAGGUGCGAAAGCGUGGGGAGCAAACAGGAUUAG